RNAcentral lists this ribosomal RNA (278 nucleotides) under uncultured bacterium. RNAcentral describes it as "partial 16S ribosomal RNA". It matches the Rfam family "Bacterial small subunit ribosomal RNA", at positions 1223 to 1500 of the family's 1533-position model. The record is from RNAcentral.
UGCUACAAUGGCGUAAACAGAGGGAAGCGAGCCCGCGAGGGGGAGCAAAUCCCAAAAAUAACGUCCCAGUUCGGAUUGUAGUCUGCAACCCGACUACAUGAAGCCGGAAUCGCUAGUAAUCGCGGAUCAGAAUGCCGCGGUGAAUACGUUCCCGGGUCUUGUACACACCGCCCGUCACACCAUGGGAGUCGGGAACACCCGAAGUCCGUAGUCUAACCGCAAGGGGGGCGCGGCCGAAGGUGGGUCCGGUAAUUGGGGUGAAGUCGUAACAAGGUAUC